This 254-nucleotide ribosomal RNA is filed under the name uncultured bacterium. RNAcentral's name for it is "partial 16S ribosomal RNA". It matches the Rfam family "Bacterial small subunit ribosomal RNA", at positions 524 to 777 of the family's 1533-position model. The record is from RNAcentral.
UACGAGGGAUCCUAGCGUUGUUCGGAAUCAUUGGGCGUAAAGGGUGCGUAGGCGGUUUGUCGCGUCUGCUGUGAAAGACCGGGGCUCAACUCCGGUUCUGCAGUGGGUACGGGCAGACUAGAGUGAUGUAGGGGAGACUGGAAUUCCUGGUGUAGCGGUGAAAUGCGCAGAUAUCAGGAGGAACACCGAUGGCGAAGGCAGGUCUCUGGGCAUUAACUGACGCUGAGGAGCGAAAGCAUGGGGAGCGAACAGGA